Molecule: non-coding RNA, 320 nt
Organism: Pelobates cultripes (western spadefoot toad)
Lineage: Eukaryota; Metazoa; Chordata; Amphibia; Anura; Pelobatidae
Source: the annotation of a GenBank genome assembly
CUCCUCCGGACAUCCCCAAGCCGAUCCGUGGGGAUCAGACUGUGUAUGCCGGCUUGGUUCUGGGGGAGCAUUGUGGCAAACCUAGCCACUUGGACUAUAACCAGAGACUGUACCUUUAAGGGUUGCCUACAUGCCGGUGGAGAUAUGUGUUUAACUAUGUACACUGUAUGCUGACUGUAAUAUCUUGGAUUGCCUGUAUUUGCUAUCCGCCGAAUGCGGAUAGCUAUUUGUAUGGGGUUUGCCUUUUGUUUCACGAACGGCACUUUGGAGGGCCGUUCGUGAACCGAAAACAUGACCCCUAAUAGCCCACACACUUAGAG